UUACUUCUCCCUCUGUCUGGAAAUAUUUGUCAAAGAAAUGGAUGUAUCCAGAUUUAUUUUAGUUCUAGAUACAUCCGCUUUUAUCCAUUUAUACGACAAGUAAUUCCGGACGGAGGGAGUAGCUA
Non-coding RNA from Triticum aestivum (bread wheat), 125 nucleotides. The record is from Rfam. NCBI's taxonomy places the organism in Eukaryota, Viridiplantae, Streptophyta, Magnoliopsida, Poales, Poaceae.